Molecule: long non-coding RNA, 1561 nt
Organism: Anolis carolinensis (green anole)
Lineage: Eukaryota; Metazoa; Chordata; Lepidosauria; Squamata; Anolidae
Source: Ensembl
GUGCGAGGGGAGGAAUCCCCCUGCAGGAAUCGCCGACUGGACACAUUUUUAAUUUUUUGACAUAAGGACACAGCAGGCUGCCAUAUCCUUAUGCCAAAAGGACAGGGAAAACGAGGAGGGCCUGAGGUAAGGGGGCUGCAUCUCCCCCCUCCCCCGGCCUUAGUUUGCCCACAUCUACUUUAAAACAAUAGGCCUUUUAAAAUCCUUCAGACAGGAUCAGUUGCCCGACAUUUUGGUCCUAGUUAUGGCAAUAUGAUUUCUUUUUCCAGACUGCUCUAUACACUUAGGUUCUUUGGGGGACUUCUACUCCAGUGAUCCAGGACUAGACUGAUGACAGUCACCCAGGAAUCUUUUUCUUCAGAUGCCCCUAGGCUGUGGAAUGACCUGUCAGUGUCCCGGAGCACUGGGAUGGAGAAACAAUUAUCCAGCACAGUUUCCACCUGCUACAUAUCCUGCCUCUCCAGUCAAAGAGGACUGACAGACCUGUCUACUAAUUUACAUAAAUGAAGAAGACUCAUAGCAUAGCAAUUGAAGCCUUUGUGAAAGUCUCGACUAUAUGCCAAUUUGCUAUGAAUAGGUACAUCUUGCCACUAAGAAAUAUAUGAAAGUGAACAUUAAAUGAACAUAUGGUGUAAACAGCCUGAAUCUAUGAAAAAGACCCACUUGAUUCUUCUCAUACAUCUUAAUUUCUCACACAAAUAAACCAGGAUUUUAAGAAAACGUGCAUUCAAAGACUUCUCUCCUCUUAUAGUAAAUGAAUUAAAACAGUGCUGUUUUAGUUUUUCCCUGUAGUGAAUCAUGUGGUGGAGGAAAAUAAAUGUGGUAAGUUUAUAAUUUUAUUUAUUUAUUAUUUAUAUUUAUUAGCAGUAUUUAUAUAACACCCUUCUCAACCCCGAAAGAAAUUCAGUGCGGUUCCCAGUGUUGGAAACAAUUCAAUGCUCUUGAUAAAAAACAGUAUCAAACAUCAAAGUUGACCCUCCCCUAAUAAAAGAUUAAACAGUAUUAAACACAUCACAUAAAAUAACAUCAUAUAUCACACAACGACAUAGACAUUGUGCAUAAACAGUUCUGGGUCAUAGCACUUUCAACUUUAACUUUAAAUAUUCCUAUAUUCUACAUUCCAUAAACAGAUUUUUGAAAUAGGUGUUACUAAAUACAAUGUUAUUUAUGAUACACAUACUUUAUCAAAUUCUAUUUUAUCAAGCAAUAAAAGAUGUAAUCCUGCCACAUGAAAAUGUCUUUUGAAAUGGACUUUCAAUAAGGAAUAAAUGAGGGAUCUUAUUUUUAAAAUGAAGCAUAUGGAAAGGAAUAAAGGUUAAGAAGGAAAUCAUGUCUUAUAUUUGAACAAAAAUAACAAGACUUGAGGGAAAAGGUACUGCCCCAAUCACAAACAAAUAGGACCAAACAUUUAGAGUAUUAUAGAAGCUGCCUUUUUACCAAGACAUCAAUAUUAGUAUGAUGACAUUUUUGCCAUUGGAAUGCUUAAUAUUUGAUAUAGCUAUUUGUAUGAUAUAUUUGCACUUUUAGCACUUUGGCCUAGAUUCUUUGAACCCAAUCCAUG